GAUCGAACCCUUACCGAUCCUCAACAAUCAUCCAUACACCAAUCGCUUUAUUGGUGUAUCAUCAUUUUCAUCAUUCCCGGCAACAACAACAACAACGACGACGUCCACCACACCGACGACGAUAGCCCAGCUAGUAGAACGGAAACAGUAGUCUAGCAUCAGCAUUUCAUCACCUGACAACAUAGGUAGCAUUUACGUGGACAACCACCGAACGAGACCACUAAACGAAGCCACAGCCCUUUGGACCCGCGGCAUCAGCAGUUCUUCCACAGCAACAGCAUAAGCAUUGCAGUAGGUAGUGAGGUUUGAUCGUAAUCAAUAAUUGAAUAAAGGUUCAGUUCGUUUUAGGCAGUAGAUCGAAUAAGUUCUUUUUUUAAAACUUAGUCUGGGUGACACCCUUCUUCACUGGCGCAGUCGGCAGUUCUAGCGUGGAGUAGUUAAAGUGUAGUGAAAAGUGUUCUUAUCCGAAAUCAUCGGCGGCUUACCGAAGAGCAAAGGAGGAAACACCUAAACUACAGAUUCUAGUGCACCGGCGGUUUACCGAGACACCAAAAUCAUCUUUAACGAAGCUUCACACCUGCUAGAAGACAUCGAACCAUCCGAGGGAAUAUCGGACAAUCGAACCAUCCGAGGGAAUAUCGGACAAUUUAACCAUCCGAGGGAACAUCGGAUAAAACCCAUCCAUACAGCUACCAACAUGAAACCACGUGAAAUUUUAUAUGCAGCCAAAAAUGGACAGGAGAGACCGAUAGAAAUGGAACGCCUUGUUGAACUUCGUGACAAGUUGUACGACGAAGUUCAAGUACAACUAACCAAGACACAAAACUCACAGAAUCUGUACCACAACAGGAAACGAGAGGAUCCGCCAAAACUAAAACAAAACGAAUUGGCAUAUAACCGCAUCCAAGGAGUGAAGUCGAAAAUUAAGGACCGCUACCAACAAGUGCGAGUACGAUCUAACCGGAAACACACGUACAAAGAUAUCCUAAGUCGAAAAUUGCAUAAAGAAAAACUGCGACGAAUCCGAAAGUAACACCACAGAAUCUCUAAUGUGUUUUUUCAUUUGUUUUCUCUUUUUAGAUGACGUUUAUUUGGAAUAUCCUGAUAACAACCACAUUCCUUACUCAGCUAUCCCAACCACAAUCCAUCCACGUCAUUAAUCUCAAACAAAACCCCGGUCUUUUAACCAUAGAAACUGGCAACAGUUUUAUAAAAAUAGGCAAUCACAGAUUGUUUCAUAUCCUAGAACUGGAUAAUUACGAACCUAUUUUUAGAAAAUUGCUUGCUAAUAUCCAAGGAAUACGGACAUUCUCAAAUUUUACUGAUAUGUUUGAAAUCUUAGAAUCGAAAUAUGGAACCGUUCACAGUUUAUUCAAUAAUCUUCGGCCAAAGCAAAGAAAUAAAAGAGGAUUAUUUAAUUUUCUCGGAACUGGAAUAAAAAGAAUUACAGGAAAUAUGGACCAUAACGACUAUGAACAAAUUUCGAAAAAUAUUUUUGAACUGCAGAUCAAGAACAAAAGACUUAUUAACGAAAACAACGAACAGCUUAAAAUUAAUCUACAACUCCAAAAUAGAAUCAAUUCCAUUAUCAACCGUUUAAAUCAACAACAGAGUGAAAUAACUAAAAACAUUAUAUCAGCUAGAUUUGAAAACGAAACCAACAAAAACUUUAAAU
RNAcentral lists this long non-coding RNA (1675 nucleotides) under Aedes aegypti (yellow fever mosquito). RNAcentral describes it as "lncRNA AAEL025220". The record is from RNAcentral. Lineage: Eukaryota; Metazoa; Arthropoda; Insecta; Diptera; Culicidae.